GCGGAGGAAAAGAAAAUAACAAUGAUUUCCCUAGUAACGGCGAGUGAAGAGGAAAGAGCUCAAAGUUGGAACCUGUUUGGCUUAGCCAAACCGGAUUGUAAACUGUAGAAGUGUUUUCCAGACACGCCUGGUAAAAAAGUCCUUUGGAACAGGGCAUCAUAGAGGGUGAGAAUCCCGUCUUUGGCCAGAGCUGUUGUCUUUUGUGAUACAUUUUCAAAGAGUCAGGUUGUUUGGGAAUGCAGCCUAAAUUGGGUGGUAAAUCUCACCUAAAGCUAAAUAUUUGCGAGAGACCGAUAGCGAACAAGUACCGUGAGGGAAAGAUGAAAAGAACUUUGAAAAGAGAGUUAAACAGUAUGUGAAAUUGUUAAAAGGGAACCGUUUGGAGCCAGACUGGCUUAACUGUAAUCAAUCUAGGCUUCGGCCUGGAUGCACUUGCGGUUUAUGCCGGCCAACGACAGUUUUAUUUGAGGGAAAAAAUUACAUUGAAUGUGGCCCCUCGGGGUGUUAUAGCUUUGUAAAAAAUACCUUGGAUUGGACUGAGGAACGCAGUGAAUGCCUUUAGGCAAGGUUGCUGRGUGCUUUCGCUAAUAAAUGCUAAAAUUUCUGCUUYGGGUGGUGUUAGUGUUUAAAGGAGAAACCCGCUUGGUAUACUUUUUAUUCGCUUAGGUUGUUGGCUUAAUGACUCUAAAUGAC
RNAcentral lists this ribosomal RNA (693 nucleotides) under Mucor fusiformis. Its description in RNAcentral is "eukaryotic LSU rRNA". It matches the Rfam family "Eukaryotic large subunit ribosomal RNA", at positions 50 to 648 of the family's 3401-position model. Lineage: Eukaryota; Fungi; Mucoromycota; Mucoromycetes; Mucorales; Mucoraceae. The record is from RNAcentral.